Molecule: long non-coding RNA, 1296 nt
Organism: Astatotilapia calliptera (eastern happy)
Lineage: Eukaryota; Metazoa; Chordata; Actinopteri; Cichliformes; Cichlidae
Source: Ensembl
CAGGCACACAGCUGCAGGAGGCACAGCUGAGGAAGCAAGAGGAGGUGUUGGAGGUCCGUGUGUGCGUUUGUCACCUCACACGCUGAGCCUGAGGAGAGCUGACGGUGUCACUGCGACAGGGAGCUGAGUGUGUGUGUGUGAGGCUGAAGUGAAGCUUCGCUCGCUGGUCACGAGGAGUUGCUGCUGUUGUGUCUGUUGCUCCUUUUUCCUCUUCCUGAGACGUCUGUGCUGCACGCGCGGGCGAGCGACUGCCGCCGUGUGUCGUCCCCUCGCUCGCUCUCUCCGUCUUUUCCUCCCUCCUUCGUCUCCACCUUCAGCCGGCUUCUUUGCCGUAACUGUGCCGGGGAGAGACAGCCGGGUAUCAUCAGAAUCUCCUCGACCUCAUCGAAUCCAUCGUUACCAAAAAAGCCGCAGGCCUGAGCCUUCCUGGCGGCUUUACUGACCUGCCUGCUAAUCAGCAGCCCCGCCGGAGGCCGGGACUCUGAGGACACCAAAGACAGAAGACGUCUCGGCUGAUCUGGAUGCUCUUUGUUUCUGUCAUUUCCUGUUUCCACACUGACGCCGAUCUGCAGCCUGGACACGGUGGAUGUAAAAGAAACCACGCCGCUCUUUUCUCGACACAAUUCUUCGCGAUGUCGCCUCGCAGGAGGUGACGUGUGGCUCCUCCUAACAUGUAGCCAGGACGACCUGAAGAGCCCUCCCACAAACUUUCCUUCAAACAGGCCGAUCGCUGCCGGAUGAGUGAACGCUCACUCCCACAAAACACAAACUGAGACGCUGAGCGAGGGUUCAUAAAGUGCUACCGGCUCAUUAUCAGCCACGGCGCUUCCUAUUUUCAUCUUUAAUCUUUGUAUUCUGAGUAAUCAUCUUUUUAAUUAAUGGUGACGGCGGCAUGAAAUCUUCCCCACCGCCCUCCUUUUCUCCCGGUGCCACCUGAAACCAAUUAGCAACAGCAGAUCUAGAUGGGGAUUAGACACGGGGGGAGCAGCCGCGAUUAGACACAAACACAACGACAGAAGAAGAGAGCCUGAGAACAAAGCCGGAGGCGGGGUUAGGGAGGGGCCCGCCGUCCAUUCUGGGUGAUCGAUAGAAGGGAGGAGUAGAUAUGGAUACGGCCGGAUUGGGGAGGCAACCCUCAGCAGACGCAACAGCCAGGUGUGAGUCAGCAGGUGGAGUCGAUUGUCAGUGCCCAGAGUCGUGACUGACAGGAGCUCCGGCCGCCCGGGACUCUUUGUCAUUCCCUGCACGGAGCGGCAGAGCACGAGGAGAGACUCCUGGCUCGUCUCCACAAUCAGG